GUCCUGACUCUCUGAGCUCCAGCUGCUCUCCCUCAGCAGAGGGCACGUCCACCAGAUUACCAUCCUCCUUCGGUCUUUUCCAGGAGAACUGGACCAGAGGAGGAAACAUGCCUGAGGCCAGACACAGCAGGGAGGUCUUCCCCCCCAGGUGGGCUCUGGAUGCUGCUGGGUACACACUCACCACGGGCUUCACUACGUCCUCAUCUGAAGUUUGACAGCAGCAACAAGCAGCACACACACAUUCACACAGUCAACAGCAGCUUCCAGCACUGCACUGCAUUCAGUCUGAUCCUGGAAACUACAUGGACUCUGAUCACUAAACUACUCAUCAAUACAGCACAAAGUUCACCACAUAUACUGGAUUCACCUUCACAUAGAAACAUUCUCUGCUAUAUAUCAUGCUUAUAUGCAUAUUUAUAUUUAUUUAUGUCAAUGCCAUACAGAGUCCGUUCACCCUUAAUUCUAUUCUAUUUAUUUUUGUUUUGCUAUUCUAUUUAUAUUCUGUGUCGUUUGCUAACUGUCCUGCAUGCUGCCCUGUCUUUCGUUCACAAACUGUUGUAGUGCCCUGUGUGAUGUGUUCUGUCUGUAUUUGCUGCUGGAAACGUAAUUUCCCCGAGGGAGUCAUCCCAAAGGGAUCAAUAAAGUCCGUCUAAGUCUAAGUCUAAGUCUAUAUAUUAUGGAUAUCAUCAGAGAAAGAUCAACAAAGAUGGCAACAGGAUUUACAUUCUUUAUAUUCAUAUUCAACUUUUAGAAAUCACAAGCUCAGAAUAGAUGUGUCAUCAUAAUAUUAUAUAUUUACAAUAUCUGAAAUAUAUCUUUAACAAGAAAAUGGAAGAAGAAAAAAGAAGUGACAGUGUGUUCUGUAUUGUCUUAUAUUUACACAGAUAUAAUUUUUGUAUGUAUAUACAUAUAUAAAAAUUCUAUGUAUUUAUAAUAAAUCAUAUUUUGUUUUAGAUAAAUUUAUAGUCUAUUGAUCAGAAUGUUCAUGUUUAAAAUACAAUUGUAAUUAAAUUUUACGUUUAAAUACGUUUUGGUGAAAUAAUUACAUUUAUAUAUACAUCUAUAUGAAGAGUAUUUGAAAACAAAUUUGUAAAAAUAAUAUAGAGCCUGUAUAUCUUCAAUAAAAAAAUAUAUAUUUUCCAUCAUUUAAAAUACAGUGGCAGUUAUGAGAUAAAACAUUUACUGUGAUAUAUUUUGGUUUUGUAUAUUUUAUCAAACAUUGUGUUGUUGUAUCAUUUUAUAUCCACACGUAUAAUUUUUGUGUGUGUACAUACACAAAAUUUUAUAUAUCUAUGUUGAUUGAAUUACAUUUUUUGUAACAUCACUAUAUAUUGAUCAUAAUUUUGUUAUUGAAUAAUUUACCCUUAUAAAAUUUUCAAUAAAUUCUCUAUUAAACUAAA
Lates calcarifer (barramundi perch) is the source of this 1400-nucleotide long non-coding RNA. RefSeq lists it as uncharacterized. The record is from RefSeq and is a predicted model, not a curated record. The transcript is spliced from 2 exons. NCBI's taxonomy places the organism in Eukaryota, Metazoa, Chordata, Actinopteri, Centropomidae.